This 304-nucleotide long non-coding RNA is filed under the name Brassica napus (rape). Its description in RNAcentral is "long non-coding RNA (BNAP_LNC013331)". The record is from RNAcentral. Lineage: Eukaryota; Viridiplantae; Streptophyta; Magnoliopsida; Brassicales; Brassicaceae.
GCCGUUGUUUAUCUUUUUAGCUGUUACUCGAUCAAUUUUCUGAUAAUGGCGUUGAACACCGGAAUCAGAUCGAUCUCAAAGAUCAUAGCUUCAUCCGAGUCAUUAGUCUCCAGAUCUGGUUCGUGCUUUACAUUUCUCUCUUUGGUGGUCUAGGGUUUUGUUUAUUUGCCCAGAUAUCGACGACACAUUUGUAUUGGGUUUGACAUUUUGGUAUCUCUGGUUAGUCUCAAAAUGCUCCGACGACCCAAUUCGUCGUUGGUUGAUUGGUUGUUUCCUUGUUUCACAUGAACCUAUCAAAGUUGUU